CCAGACUCCUACGGGAGGCAGCAGUGGGGAAUAUUGCACAAUGGGGGAAACCCUGAUGCAGCGACGCCGCGUGAGUGAAGAAGUAUUUCGGUAUGUAAAGCUCUAUCAGCAGGGAAGAAAAUGACGGUACCUGACUAAGAAGCCCCGGCUAACUACGUGCCAGCAGCCGCGGUAAUACGUAGGGGGCAAGCGUUAUCCGGAUUUACUGGGUGUAAAGGGAGCGUAGACGGCAUGGCAAGUCAGAUGUGAAAGCCCGGGGCUCAACCCCGGGACUGCAUUUGAAACUGUCAGGCUGGAGUGCAGGAGAGGUAAGUGGAAUUCCUAGUGUAGCGGUGAAAUGCGUAGAUAUUAGGAGGAACACCAGUGGCGAAGGCGGCUUGCUGGACAGAGACUGACGUUGAGGCUCGAAAGCGUGGGGAGCAAACAGGAUUAGAUACCCCAGUAAA
This 446-nucleotide ribosomal RNA is filed under the name uncultured bacterium. RNAcentral's name for it is "bacterial SSU rRNA". It matches the Rfam family "Bacterial small subunit ribosomal RNA", at positions 331 to 794 of the family's 1533-position model. The record is from RNAcentral.